This is a non-coding RNA of Vicugna pacos (alpaca), 970 nucleotides long. The record is from RefSeq and is a predicted model, not a curated record. NCBI's taxonomy places the organism in Eukaryota, Metazoa, Chordata, Mammalia, Artiodactyla, Camelidae.
UUCGUUUCCUGCUUGUUUUUAAGGCACAAAAGUAGGAUCCGUGAUUCAGUUUUCUGGAGUAAGGAGUGCCAGCAGGAAAGUGGUGGGUGAGAACGCACACGAACAUAUCCUGUGACGCUUUAAAACAAUUCUACUUAAAGUAUUUAAUAGGAAGAUGGUGGUACUCAUAGCAGAAUCCUGCCUUUUCUGCCCACAACAAAUCUCUGAAAGGAGUGUCUCUCCUAAAGUCAGCAUUUCUUCACGCUGAUGAAACUUUGUGUUUCGCUUUGGUUUGGGCUUUUAAUUCCCUGUGCAAGGACCAUUGCUUUAAGGUACUUUAAGGGGGAGCAUUUCAUUCUGGUGGAGGUUCCCAGAGGACGGCGGGUGUGUGCGGAGGUGUGAGCCCAGCCUUGAAGGUGUCUGCCUGGGCACAUGGAAGGCAGGAUUUCGGCUGUCUGUGCCCCCAAGAAAUUCUGCACAAUUGAAUGAGGAAACCUUCAUUCUACAGCACAACCUCAGACCGUGUCACAUGUGACCCUGCACCGUCACUUGCCAUCCCCCACCCCCUCCCCACCAAACCCAGCCUAGAGUUUCAUGGGGCACUGAUUCCUGCUACAACAUGGAUGAAUCCUGAAGCUACGCCAAAUAAGCCGGGCACUAAAGAGCACACAAACGUGCUUCUGCUUUAUGAAGCCUGCAGAGUGUGCACAUUCAGGACAGAAAGGAGAAUGGUGAGAACUGGCAUCUUCGCUCUCAAGUACACACAGGAAAAGAUGAACUACACACUUCUUAGGAGAACUUUCCAGUUUGACUUUGCACCCUCAUCCCUCACUGCCUCCCACCUACCCUCGUGGGCUCUGCUCUAACCUCAUCAAAGUACCUCUCCAGCUCUCUCCCUCGGCCUUGGCCUGUGGUCUCCUUCCUUCCUUCUCCUUCCUGUCCGCUCCUCCUUCACAGUCACCCCAAGUGUCCUUCGUCGGGAGGCCUGAUG